Molecule: ribosomal RNA, 910 nt
Filed under: uncultured Bacteroidota bacterium
Lineage: Bacteria; Pseudomonadati; Bacteroidota
Description: bacterial SSU rRNA
Rfam family: Bacterial small subunit ribosomal RNA
Source: RNAcentral
AGAGUUUGAUCCUGGCUCAGGAUGAACGCUAGCGGCAGGCUUAAUACAUGCAAGUCGAGGGGCAGCACAGGUAGCAAUACUGGGUGGCGACCGGCAAACGGGUGCGGAACACGUACACAACUUACCUUAGAGUGGGGGAUAGCCCAGGGAAACUUGGAUUAAUACCCCAUAAAACAGGGGGCCCGCAUGGGCAUAUUGUUAAAGAUUUAUCGCUUUAAGAUGGGUGUGCGUAUGAUUAGGUAGUUGGUAGGGUAAUGGCCUACCAAGCCGACGAUCAUUAACUGGUGUGAGAGCACGACCAGUCACACGGGCACUGAGACACGGGCCCGACUCCUACGGGAGGCAGCAGUAAGGAAUAUUGGUCAAUGGACGGAAGUCUGAACCAGCCAUGCCGCGUGAAGGAUGAAGGUCCUCUGGGUUGUAAACUUCUUUUAUAGGGGGCGAAAAAGGGCCAUUCUUGGUCAACUGACGGUACCCUAUGAAUAAGCACCGGCUAACUCCGUGCCAGCAGCCGCGGUAAUACGGAGGGUGCAAGCGUUAUCCGGAUUUACUGGGUUUAAAGGGAGCGUAGGCGGGUAUGUAAGUCAGUGGUGAAAGCCCUCAGCUUAACUGAGGAAUUGCCGUUGAUACUAUAUAUCUUGAAUAUCGUUGAGGUUUGCGGAAUAGGUCAUGUAGCGGUGAAAUGCUUAGAUAUGACCUGGAACACCUAUUGCGAAGGCAGCAGGCUAAACGAUGAUUGACGCUGAGGCUCGAAAGCGUGGGGAUCAAACAGGAUUAGAUACCCUGGUAGUCCACGCCCUAAACGAUGAUUACUCGACAUUGGCGAUACACAGUCAGUGUCUGAGCGAAAGCAUUAAGCAAUCCACCUGGGAAGUACGACCGCAAGGUUGAAACUCAAAGGAAUUGACGG